RNAcentral lists this ribosomal RNA (497 nucleotides) under uncultured bacterium. RNAcentral describes it as "partial 16S ribosomal RNA". It matches the Rfam family "Bacterial small subunit ribosomal RNA", at positions 28 to 507 of the family's 1533-position model. The record is from RNAcentral.
GACGAACGCUGGCGGCGUGCCUAAUACAUGCAAGUAGAACGCUGAAGAGAGGAGCUUACUCUUCUUGGAUGAGUUGCGAACGGGUGGGUAACGCGUAGGUAACCUGCCUUGUAGCGGGGGAUAACUAUUGGAAACGAUAGCUAAUACCGCGUAACAAUGGAUGACACAUGUCAUUUAUUUGAAAGGGGCAAUUGCUCCACUACAAGAUGGACCUGCGUUGUAUUAGCUAGUAGGUGAGGUAAUGGCUCACCUAGGCGACGAUACAUAGCCGACCUGAGAGGGUGAUCGGCCACACUGGGACUGAGACACGGCCCAGACUCCUACGGGAGGCAGCAGUAGGGAAUCUUCGGCAAUGGGGGCAACCCUGACCGAGCAACGCCGCGUGAGUGAAGAAGGUUUUCGGAUCGUAAAGCUCUGUUGUAAGUCAAGAACGGGUGUGAGAGUGGAAAGUUCACAAUGUGACGGUAGCUUACCAGAAAGGGACGGCUAACUACGUG